RNAcentral lists this ribosomal RNA (253 nucleotides) under uncultured bacterium. RNAcentral's name for it is "partial 16S ribosomal RNA". It matches the Rfam family "Bacterial small subunit ribosomal RNA", at positions 524 to 776 of the family's 1533-position model. The record is from RNAcentral.
GACAGAGGUCUCAAGCGUUGUUCGGAUUCAUUGGGCGUAAAGGGCGCGUAGGCGGCGGGGUAAGUCGGGUGUGAAAUCUCAGAGCUCAACUCUGAAACUGCACUCGAUACUGCUCUGCUUGAGGACUGGAGAGGAGACUGGAAUUCACGGUGUAGCAGUGAAAUGCGUAGAUAUCGUGAGGAAGACCAGUGGCGAAGGCGGGUCUCUGGACAGUUCCUGACGCUGAGGCGCGAAGGCCAGGGGAGCAAACGGG